RNAcentral lists this ribosomal RNA (459 nucleotides) under uncultured bacterium. RNAcentral's name for it is "partial 16S ribosomal RNA". It matches the Rfam family "Bacterial small subunit ribosomal RNA", at positions 338 to 795 of the family's 1533-position model. The record is from RNAcentral.
CCUACGGGAGGCAGCAGUGAGGAAUAUUGGUCAAUGGUCGGGAGACUGAACCAGCCAAGCCGCGUGAGGGAGGAAGGUACAGAGUAUCGUAAACCUCUUUUGUCAGGGAACAAAGGCGGGGACGUGUCCCCGGCUGAGUGUACCUGAAGAAAAAGCAUCGGCUAACUCCGUGCCAGCAGCCGCGGUAAUACGGAGGAUGCGAGCGUUAUCCGGAUUUAUUGGGUUUAAAGGGUGCGCAGGCGGUCUGUUAAGUCAGCGGUCAAAGCCCGGGGCUCAACCCCGGCCCGCCGUUGAAACUGGCAGUCUCGAGUUGGAGAGAAGUAGGCGGAAUGCGCGGUGUAGCGGUGAAAUGCAUAGAUAUCGCGCAGAACUCCGAUUGCGAAGGCAGCAUGCCGGCUCCAAACUGACGCUGAGGCACGAAAGCGUGGGUAUCGAACAGGAUUAGAUACCCUUGUAGUC